This is an RNA transcript of Amphiprion ocellaris (clown anemonefish), 3802 nucleotides long. It is a transcript of the gene named family with sequence similarity 234 member B, with no coding region annotated. The transcript has 14 exons. NCBI's taxonomy places the organism in Eukaryota, Metazoa, Chordata, Actinopteri, Pomacentridae. The record is from RefSeq and is a predicted model, not a curated record.
CUACAACUCCCAGGGUGCAGCGCGGCAGAUCCAAUCUGCAGGGUCGGUGGCUCGGAGCUGCACAUCACCGUUGCCUCACGUCGGUAUCUGGCGGAUCGGUUGGAGGAGAAAUGGCUGCAGCUCUGUCCCGAGCCCUCAAACUGCCCGGGAAGAAGGGCUCAGAGCUCGGCGAGUACGACCCUCUCACCCAAGCGGACAGCGAGGACGAGAGCGAAGAGGAUGACCUGGUCCUCAACUACCCCCGGAACGGCCUGGGCAGGGACGGCUGCCUGGGCUCGGGCUCCUCCAAGCUGCGGGGCGGCAGAUCCGGACGGCUGGUGGGAGCCCCAGAUGAGGCGCAGGAGGACGAGGAGGAAGAGGAGGACGAGUGGAGGGAGCAUCUCCCCAGCAAGUCCAGGCAGGACAGGGAGGCCAUGAAGGGCGUCCAGUACUGGAGCCACGGGGACUCGGGAAGGGAGAGGACGGGGGAGGACAGGCGGGGGUCGGGGGGUUUGGGGGGCGCCGGGCUGGGGGUUCACAGCGCCGAGGCGGAGGAGAAGAGGAUGAGGGUGAAGAAUGCCGUCCGAAGUGCGUUUUUCCUGGUGCCUCUGGUCUUUGCCAUGCUGCUGGUGCUGCUGUGUGCGUUCCUGAUCCCCUGCCAGAAGGGGGAACUGGGGAAGACGCUGCAGUGGGAGAAAGCACUGGGAGACGCAGGAGGUGUCACUCCACCCGCACUGGCUUUGUGGGACGUGGACGGGGAUUCGGUGGAGGAUGUGUUUCUGGGUGUUACCGGCUGGACCAAUGAUACCCACACCACACAAGGGAACAAAGUUUACAGUGCGGUGGCUGUUUCUGCCGUCAGCGGUCAGGUGCUGUGGAGGAAAGUGAUGCGGGAGUCUGUGAUGUACAUCCAGUGUGGUCUGCAGUUCACCACCCAACCCUCACCUGUGUGUCUCCUCAUUGGAAAAUCCAUCAUCAUGGCUGUCAACGGCACCACAGGGGAGAAGUUGUGGCCCGUCAUGCUGAAGAACAUUGAAUCCCAGGCGGUGUUGCUUCCAGACCUCCAGGGCGACUCGGUUCCAGAUCUGCUCGUUGCCACCCUGCCUGUAGAUGAGGCUUUGGAUCUCUCCCUGACGCUGAUCUCAGGACGGACAGGUGCGAUGCUCGGACAUCCCGUGCCUUUCAACCUCACCGGACAAGGAAGGCUGAUUGGUCCUUUGCUGCAUGAGACGCAACACGGGGCGUACUACAUCCUCUUUGGACUAGGUAAUGUCGAGGCCAUCUCUCUGCGAGACAUCUACAUUCGCGCCACUUCCAAAAUGCCCAUAACCCAGGCACUUAGAAAGAGGGAUCCAGGAUGGGAAGGACUCAAGAAAACCAAUUUAUCCUCCUUCAUUCACAUUUACAGAGGAGCUGAGCAUGCGGAGUUCUUGCUCCCUCUUGUGACUGGUUUUGGCAACAACCACAACAACCUGGACACGGUUUCGAACCUGAACGCCAGCAGAAGUGACUGGGUGUUGGUGUACGGAUCCAGCAAGCUGUCAGUUCUCAGACAGAAGGACUUAAGAAAAGAAUGGACUUUCAACUCAGCUCCCAUCCACAGUCAACCAACCCUGGGACACUUCAAUGAUGAUGGAAUCCUUGAUCUUUUCAUUCAGCAUUCAGCAAACGGUACCAUGAAGACGCAGAUCGUCGAUGGAGCAAACAGGGACGUUCUCUGGACGUCAGAGUUUGUGUGUCCUCAUCUCGUUUUGGAAGCAUCUGCAAUCUCCACCUCAACCGGCCAAUCAGCGUUCCUAUUCUGGGCCAGCGAACCAAUCAAAGCACAGAGAAAUGUUACCAAGACAACGGUGACACAAGGUCUUGCUGCACCAGAGCCGCUCAUCAGAAAACUUUUCCUGCUGCAUCCUGCGUAUCCCUUAAUCCUGCUGGAGCUCACCAGUACCACGGACACUACAGUCACAUCUGCAGUGAGCUACCAGGAGCAUCAGAAAGACGCCUCCUACAUUACCGUGUCCUCCAGACCAACGCCUGACUCUGAGCCUGGUGCUCGGAUAGUCAAGAGCAUGAGCCUCAGAGCUGCUAUCACCAAAGGGCAGAUUGUCAGACUAGGAGAAACCAAUAAGAACGGAGGGCCCAUUAAACCGAGCGCCUUCGAGAUCUACAAGUUCUUCCGGCGUCUGACCUUCAAACGUCAGUGAAAACAUUUGGGUUUGACAUCAAACGAUGAAUAUGAGACGAGAGAUCAACAUUUCAUCUUUUAUUUCCAGUGAUUAACCAACUCUGCACCCUGCUAGAAGCGGUACGACUUAAAGGACUGUGUGAGGAUGAAAGGGACAAAAGCUGUGGAUCGUUCUGCACUUGAAUUCAUUUGAAGCUGUUUACAUCUCGUUAAGUAGAAUUUCACUUCUGUUACUUGAGCAAGAGAUUUGUAUUGUUUUGGUAUACAUUAUGUUGCUUAUUUAAAUUAUUUGACUUGCAUUUAGGAAGCCUGUAAUAUUUAACUGAAUGUUUAUAAUGGACAUGAUGACAGGGGAGUAACUUUCAACUGGAAUUUAUUACCAACUUUGAAGCACAAUAAUGUGAUGAAAGAAUAUGUAAAUGCAUUCACAGUAUGGUUCACUCAUAACACUUCCAAGGCCAGUAUUUUCCUGUGCUGUCAUUCCCUGGUCACAUGCAUUUCCUCCCCCUGAAACCACUAAUAGUGUUUCUACUGCUCAUUAUCACAAUAUGUAGUAUAUAGGGAGUCUGUAAAUAUUUAAUGCUGUACAGUAUUUAUUGGUUUGCUUUAGGGUUUUGUUUUGUUUUUUCAUGUUUGAAAUUUUGACUGAUCUUUUAAUGUACAGUAAAGUCCAGAAUUAUUCAUCCCCAUGCCAAAUUUGAAUUUAUAGUUAUUUUUUUAUUCAACUAAUAGGGUUAUUCUAACUUCCUCUGUUUUUUGUGUCAUACAUUUUAACUAUUUCUGUGGUCUUUGUUCAGUUUUACAAAAAAAUGCCAUGUCCAAGAUGAUUUAUAUCCAGUAAUCAGUGUCAACGCCUUUAUUCACACAUCAGUUUUAUUUGAUUAGUAAGUAUUUUUUCUGGCUGUAAAUGGCAUAAACCAAUGACAAAAAGCAGAAAUAGCUUGUGUUAGAGAUGUUAAUGAUACAUUUGAACAAUUUUAUGCUUUAAUGAUACUUUUUUUUAAGAAUAUGCAGCUUCUAUCCCAUUCUAAAUAGUUCUCGUAACUUGUACUAUGUCCUAGAUUUUUUGAAUACAUUAGAAGCUGAGAACAGCUCAGGCAGUAGUUCUCUAGUUAGUUUCUAGUCAAUCGCAAGUCAUGGCUACAACCAACGAGCAAAGUGAGCUGGUUAUUAUAGUUGCACAUUGUUGCUGCUCACAUGACAGAGAAAAGCUCGAAAGUCAUUCAAAAUUAGCAUCAAAAAGUACAAUGAGAGCAAUACUGAGAAAUUCCAAAGAUUUUAGUUGGAAGCCAAAAGUUUCCCAAGCAGAAUCCAAGAAUCACCACCAUCCUGAUGAAUCUGAGCAACUGUGUGAACGAUAUCUCAAUUAGACACUAUAGCAGAUUGUGAACAAGCAAUGAAAGAAGACCCUACUUCUCCAAGACAGACACACAGAGCUCACCUGGACUAAGUUAAAACACUCGCACCAGUGACACAAAGAGCAGAAAAGUCCACAAAUUCGCUUUAAAUCAAAAGUUGGCAUGAGGAUGAAUAAUUUAACUGCAUAUAAUCAACCACUUUCUCAGAAGAUGUGGCUGCUAAAGGUUCUGGCAUUUCAAUGUAAGCUGCAACUCCUCAAGAGAAAGUAAACUGCAACGUGUC